CAGGAUAAAGGCCCGGGCAAAGUUUUAGAAAUGGAGAUCUCAAGCACUUCACAAGAAAAGUCUAUGCCUGCUGAAAAGAAAGAAGCUUUAAGCUGCGUACUGUCUGGAGAUGAAAUGCAAGCUGCUCAUAAUUAUCCAAGGCAUGUGCCUGUGCAUGUGGUAGAUGGAAGCUUGGGAGCAAAUGUUCAAGGGUCAGUAACCGAUACUCUGCUGCAGGAAUCCACUUUUCAUCCAGCAAUGGAGGUUCGAGGAGAGCAUAAUAUAAUUGGGAAUCCAUCUGAUUGUGUUUCCUUUGAACAUCAAAAUAAUGCACCUAGGUGCGUUUAUCAAUCAUAUCCAACAAUUCAUCCUACUCCAUUUACCUUACUUCGCCCUAACCAAGAGCAUUAUAAGUCACUUCUGCACAUGUCCUCCUCAUUUUCAAAUCUUGUUGUGUCUACCCUUCAACAAAACCCUGCUGCUCAUGCAAUAGCUAGUUUGACAGCAACAUGUUGGCCCUAUGUGAAUCCUGAAACUUCUGUAGAUUCUCCCGUUUGUGAUAAGGAAGGUUCUGGAACCAAGCAAAUGAACCCCACCCCAAGUAUGGAAGCCAUUGCU
Molecule: long non-coding RNA, 597 nt
Filed under: Cucumis sativus (cucumber)
Lineage: Eukaryota; Viridiplantae; Streptophyta; Magnoliopsida; Cucurbitales; Cucurbitaceae
Description: long non-coding RNA (CSAT_LNC002234)
Source: RNAcentral